AAAGCCGAGUCACGGGUGGGAGUGCCGGGAGAGCGGGGCCGGUUGGGGGCGGGGUCGCUUCCUCUUGUCUCGACCCGCCGGACGGGGUGCUGCCGCUCGCUGCGGGUUCAUUUCUAGGAUGGUGCGCGCUCCUCGCUGCCCUCCUUUGCAUUUUGGGUCUGCUUAGGUGGCUAUGCAAGGCAAAGGCCUUGUGUUGCCCACCAGGCCUAUGGGAAGGCGCAGAGCUGGGCUUGCUGCUGGAGAAGGUACCCCAUAGCUUUCUUUGCUGCAGGACACAUUUAAUUCAGUCUCAACCAGCACCACAGAUGCAGAAGCUGGCACUAGGAACUAAAAGAGUAGGUGUUCUCUGCAACCUUUGUUCAAAGUCACAGAAAUUGGAAAUGGUCAAGGCUUGAGGACAUCCUCUUACGCCUUUAUAGCAGAAGGGGAAAAUGUGUAGGCACGGUUCUAGGACUUUACAAGUGUUGCCAAGCUAGUUAUGCUCUUCAGAUUCUAUAUUGGAAAUUAAUUCCUAUAUUAGCCUGUACAACAAGAAAAACUGGUAAAAUAUCAGUGUAACUGUCAAAUAGUAUCAUCUGAUGAUUCAAUUUUUAUAUUACUCUUUCUGUAUAAAACUCAUCUAGAACCGUGGUAACAGAAUAGCUAUCUUCAUAAAAUAAAAUUGUUUUUGAAUGCAUUGGCAAUGUUUCAGUUUGCUAUUUUAGUUAUAUAUGUGACCUGAAAAGCUGAUAAUGGAAAAUUUGUCAUCUUGA
Molecule: long non-coding RNA, 752 nt
Organism: Athene cunicularia (burrowing owl)
Lineage: Eukaryota; Metazoa; Chordata; Aves; Strigiformes; Strigidae
Exons: 4
Source: RefSeq, a predicted model, not a curated record